AUGUGGUAUCUUCGUAAGGGAGUUGUGCUAACCAAAGACAACCUCGCACGGCACAAUUGGCAAGGGAGUAAGAAGUGUUAUUUUUGUACUCAUGAUGAGACAAUCAGACACCUCUUUUUCCAAUGCAACUUUGCACGUUCUACGUGGCCAGUCAUCCAAAUAGCGUCAAGUUUAUAUCCGCCCACAAGUGUUGCCAAUAUUUUUGGUCAUUGGUUGGACGGUAUUUCAAAUAGGUUCAAAACGCUAUUGAGGGUGGGAGCAUAUGCCUUACUAUGGUCGCUUUGGCUAUGUAGAAAUGAUUUUGCUUUGAUGACAAAAAUGCUUCUCCUUUGCAGGCUAUUUUCCGUCGUACGCACUCGCUUCGUACGUGGCCUAUGCUACAACGAGCGGAGGUCCAACUGUUGGUGUCAAAACCGGCAGAUCCCGGGUUGGGGGUCCCGAGCUGUGUGUCAUGGAUCGAUGGGUAACAGGAGACAGGGGACACGAUGUUUACCCAGGUUCGGGCCCUCUCUAUGGAGGUAA
RNAcentral lists this ribosomal RNA (522 nucleotides) under Triticum aestivum (bread wheat). RNAcentral's name for it is "partial small subunit ribosomal RNA". Lineage: Eukaryota; Viridiplantae; Streptophyta; Magnoliopsida; Poales; Poaceae. The record is from RNAcentral.